Molecule: ribosomal RNA, 509 nt
Filed under: uncultured bacterium
Lineage: Bacteria
Description: bacterial SSU rRNA
Rfam family: Bacterial small subunit ribosomal RNA
Source: RNAcentral
GACGAACGCUGGCGGCGUGGAUUAGGCAUGCAAGUCGAACGGUAUCAUCCUUUCGGGGGUGAGAGAGUGGCGAACUGGUGAGUAACACGUAGGUUAUCUACCCUCAAGACGGGGACAACCCAGGGAAACUUGGGCUAAUACCGGAUGUGAGCAACUUUUAGUUGUUUGAAAGGUGGCGUAAGCUGUCGCUUGGGGAUGAGCCUGCGUCCUAUUAGUUAGUUGGUGAGGUAACGGCUCACCUAGGCAAUGAUAGGUAGGCGGCCUUAACGGGUGGUCGCCCACACUGGGAUUGAGAUACGGCCCAGACUCCUACGGGAGGCAGCAGUCGAGAAUAGUCUACAAUGGUCGGAAGACUGAUAGUGCGACGCCGCGUGAACGAUGAAUCCCUUCGGGGUGUAAAGUUCUUUUAUAUGUGAGCAGUGCUUCUUAUAUUAACAGUAUGGGGAGAGAGAUAUUAGCAUAUGAAUAAGCAACGGCUAAACUCCGUGCCAGCAGCCGCGGUAAACUCG